This 435-nucleotide ribosomal RNA is filed under the name uncultured bacterium. RNAcentral's name for it is "partial 16S ribosomal RNA". It matches the Rfam family "Bacterial small subunit ribosomal RNA", at positions 29 to 507 of the family's 1533-position model. The record is from RNAcentral.
AGCGAACGCUGGCGGCAGGCUUAACACAUGCAAGUCGAGCGGGCAUCUUCGGAUGUCAGCGGCAGACGGGUGAGUAACACGUGGGAACGUACCCUUCGGUUCGGAACAACUCUGGGAAACUGGAGCUAAUACCGGAUACGCCCUUAUGGGGAAAGGUUUACUGCCGAAGGAUCGGCCCGCGUCUGAUUAGCUAGUUGGUGGGGUAACGGCCUACCAAGGCGACGAUCAGUAGCUGGUCUGAGAGGAUGGUCAGCCACACUGGGACUGAGACACGGCCCAGACUCCUACGGGAGGCAGCAGUGGGGAAUAUUGGGCAAUGGGCGCAAGCCUGAUCCAGCCAUGCCGCGUGAGUGAUGAAGGCCUUAGGGUUGUAAAGCUCUUUUGUCCGGGACGAUAAUGACGGUACCGGAAGAAUAAGCCCCGGCUAACUUCGUG